Long non-coding RNA from Gossypium raimondii (Peruvian cotton), 279 nucleotides. RefSeq lists it as uncharacterized. The record is from RefSeq and is a predicted model, not a curated record. The transcript is spliced from 3 exons. NCBI's taxonomy places the organism in Eukaryota, Viridiplantae, Streptophyta, Magnoliopsida, Malvales, Malvaceae.
AGAUUCCUCUUUAUUUUUCUACAUUCCCAUCAGCCAAAAACGUCCUAAGCGUUUCUUCAAGCUGGUUUUUCAUAAUUUUUGCACCAAAUCCGGAAAAUUCAAAUACGAAGCAAGAUCGAGGGAAAGAAAAAGUUUGGGAUUAGUAGAUUUUUGGUUACGAACAAGUGUCGAGUGUUAAGAGCUCGGAGGUCGGAUUUGGUCGGAGACGCAUCACACUAUCAACCUCAAGAUCUCGGUAUAUAAAGAAACUUUAUUUUGGAAAUCAAUGGCAUGUAUAAG